GUNGUNAAAUUUGAUCAUGGCUCAGAUUGCNCGCGUGGCUUAGCAUGCUUUACACAUGCAAGUCGAACGGUAACAGGGUCCUUUCCGGAUAUGCUUGACCGGAAGGUGUGCGAACGGUGUUGCAGUAAUUACCAUCCGNGCAACCGUGCCCUAAAGGUUACGUUUGCGCGUGGGAAUNAACUUUACNUCCCGUAACUGAUACGAAGNGGAGCAAUGCUACCGACAAUGGCGCNUGUUAUACGAAAUGUUUNACACCGUCCCUGAGGAUGCGCGAGANAGGUUUUAGGCGGAACACGCAGGCAAACAUUUACCCNGUUUUAAAAACCCCAGGCGACGGGGGAAAGAGUUUUUAGGGGCACAACAAUAGANAUAUAUGAGUGUGCCCUGCAAGAUGGAGGCUGGGGGGGGGCUAGGGGGAGAAAUAGUCCCCCCGCGUGUUUUAUUUAUACCCACGGGGUGGGUUGGGGUAGUCCCUGUCCCGNGUUGUUAUUUUUAGGGGAGNGUUUGUGGGGGGCCCUGGUUUUAUAAACAGCCCGNGUUUUUAAAAGAGAGCGGGAAACAAGGGGGUGACCCACUCGAGGAGAGGGGGUGACCGCCGUGUUUUAAUNGGNGCGAAAAAACGAUUUUUAAGNGGAUGGGGGAGUCCCACUCAAACAANGAGGGAGACAACACGUUUUUUUAUUNAAAACACGACGGUGAUGGNGGCGAGUGUUUACCAAACACAAUCGGCGGCGGUUUUNAUAGAUUANACAGGGCGGGACGGGGGNGGAUUAUUAUGGUGGCGACAUGGGGGGC
Molecule: ribosomal RNA, 795 nt
Filed under: uncultured bacterium
Lineage: Bacteria
Description: partial 16S ribosomal RNA
Source: RNAcentral